This is a non-coding RNA of Acanthosepion pharaonis, 100 nucleotides long. The record is from the annotation of a GenBank genome assembly. NCBI's taxonomy places the organism in Eukaryota, Metazoa, Mollusca, Cephalopoda, Sepiida, Sepiidae.
GUAUGCAAACACUGGAUCUCAUAUGAUCACUGAAGUUAAGCAAUGUUGAGGCUGGUCAGUACCUAGAUGUGUGACCAUUUGGGAAUACUGGCGCUGUAAG